GGCUAAUACAACACUCUUCACAUCUGUUAUCAUGUUUAUCAAUAUGUUUAUUUUGACGAAACAAGAUUUACAUUCCUUAAAAACAAAAUGGAUGACUCAUUUAGAUUGUUUCGGAGUAAAGGAAUUGACAGAUUUGACAAAAGUCCAAUUGACAAGAAUAACCAACAACCAACCUAAAACAUGUUCAAGACAUUGUAUGAAAUGGAAUUUCUUUGCUGUGCUGGACCACAAAUGUUUCUGUUUCGAUGAAGGCAUGUUUAAGAACUUAAGGGAAAAUAUGUUGAACAGAUGUCAUAGAAUGUGUCCAGACUAUACAGAUAACAUGUACUGUGGAUCUAGUGAUAUGCAAUAUGCCAAUGUAUACAAGCGAGAA
Molecule: long non-coding RNA, 373 nt
Organism: Mytilus californianus (California mussel)
Lineage: Eukaryota; Metazoa; Mollusca; Bivalvia; Mytilida; Mytilidae
Exons: 4
Source: RefSeq, a predicted model, not a curated record